Long non-coding RNA from Numida meleagris (helmeted guineafowl), 808 nucleotides. RefSeq lists it as uncharacterized. Lineage: Eukaryota; Metazoa; Chordata; Aves; Galliformes; Numididae. The record is from RefSeq and is a predicted model, not a curated record. The transcript has 3 exons.
GUUGCAACCUGAAUACUGCCUAAGAGAGUCUUCCACAUGCUCUCUCACAGUUCCCUUAAAGGAGAUGCAGAUGAUUCAUAAGUAGAUGAACUAGGAUCAGUACCGCCUCUCCCCCCGCUUUCCAUUACACUUGGACAGCAAGCUGUACUCACAAGGGUGAUGAACUCCAGCUUCCACAUUCCUCACAGAAGGUGCUGCCCUUUUCAGCACAUUAUUGCUACAGCAAAAAAAUCCAUGCUCCAAGUUUGUGCAACCAUCCUUAGCAUUCUUGUAUUGAUCUAAUUCUACAAGUCUCAGGUCAAGAGCCACUAAACUGAACAUGGAGAUUAAUUUAAUCACCAGGAAGUGCUAACAGUGCACCAUUCACUGAAUCUAUGCGGCAAAAAUGAAAAGGAUCAAAGCACAGAUCCCGGAAGAGGAGAUGAAAACACAGAAGCAGAGCAUGGGCUCCUGUCACUUUUGCCUCUCCUGCUCUCUAGCAGCUGAAGUGACACAUCCCUUGGAUAUUUAAGAGGAUUUAAGCCUGGUCCAGAUCGUGCCACCACCUUCCUACUUGAUAGAGCACCCAGCUGAAAACUUGCAUUGGAGGGUGCCUGCCCUCAGAGGGGACUGCGCGAGAUGAGCACACCCCAGCCCACCCGCCUUCCCCUGUCAAAUGGGGAGAAGAAUGGCCAAAAUACUGACCAUGGCCAUACUGCUACAUGGGCCACAGCACUCUGCUGUCCCAGAUCUCCAGUUGCUUAGGGAACAUAUUGCUUCUGCCCGUUUCUGUGCUUUAUUUUCUGGUCUACUCCUCAAUAAAUUAUCU